RNAcentral lists this ribosomal RNA (272 nucleotides) under uncultured bacterium. RNAcentral describes it as "partial 16S ribosomal RNA". It matches the Rfam family "Bacterial small subunit ribosomal RNA", at positions 82 to 354 of the family's 1533-position model. The record is from RNAcentral.
CUCCCGCCGGCGACCGGCGCACGGGUGAGUAACACGUAUGGAACCUGCCCGCAGCAGGGGGAUAAGCGGAAGAAAUUCCGUCUAAUACCGCGUAACAACGUUGGGAGGCAUCUCCCGAUGUUUAAAGAUUUAUCGGCUGCGGAUGGCCAUGCGGCGCAUUAGCUAGUCGGCGGGGUAACGGCCCACCGAGGCGACGAUGCGUAGGGGUUCUGAGAGGAAGGUCCCCCACACUGGUACUGAGACACGGACCAGACUCCUACGGAAGGCAGCAG